This 459-nucleotide ribosomal RNA is filed under the name uncultured bacterium. RNAcentral describes it as "partial 16S ribosomal RNA". It matches the Rfam family "Bacterial small subunit ribosomal RNA", at positions 338 to 795 of the family's 1533-position model. The record is from RNAcentral.
CCUACGGGAGACAGCAGUGAGGAAUAUUGGUCAAUGGCCGCAGGGCUGAACCAGCCAAGUCGCGUGAGGGAUGACGGUCCUAUGGAUUGUAAACCUCUUUUGUCAGGGAGCAAAGGGCGCCACGUGUGGCGCUUUGCGAGUACCUGAAGAAAAAGCAUCGGCUAACUCCGUGCCAGCAGCCGCGGUAAUACGGAGGAUGCGAGCGUUAUCCGGAUUUAUUGGGUUUAAAGGGUGCGCAGGCGGAAUGUCAAGUCAGCGGUAAAAUUUCGGGGCUCACACCCGUCGUGCCGUUGAAACUGGCGUUCUUGAGUGAGCGAGAAGUAUGCGGAAUGCGUGGUGUAGCGGUGAAAUGCAUAGAUAUCACGCAGAACUCCGAUUGCGAAGGCAGCAUACCGGCGCUCAACUGACGCUCAUGCACGAAAGCGUGGGUAUCGAACAGGAUUAGAUACCCUAGUAGUC